CCUACGGGUGGCAGCAGUGAGGCAUAUUGGUCAAUGGAAGAGAGUCUGAACCAGCCAAGUAGCGUGAAGGAUGACUGCCCUAUGGGUUGUAAACUUCUUUUAUAUGGGAAUAAAACGUUCCACGUGUGGGAUUUUGUAUGUACCAUAUGAAUAAGGAUCGGCUACCUCCGUGCCAGCAGCCGCGGUAAUACGGAGGAUCCGAGCGUUAUCCGGAUUUAUUGGGUUUAAAGGGAGCGUAGGUGGAUUGUUAAGUCAGUUGUGAAAGUUUGCGGCUCAACCGUAAAAUUGCAGUUGAAACUGGCAGUCUUGAGUACAGUAGAGGUGGGCGGAAUUCGUGGUGUAGCGGUGAAAUGCUUAGAUAUCACGAAGAACUCCGAUUGCGAAGGCAGUUCACUGGACUGCAACUGACACUGAGGCUCGAAAGUGUGGGUAUCAAACAGGAUUAGAUACCCUUGUAGUC
Molecule: ribosomal RNA, 460 nt
Filed under: uncultured bacterium
Lineage: Bacteria
Description: partial 16S ribosomal RNA
Rfam family: Bacterial small subunit ribosomal RNA
Source: RNAcentral